This 484-nucleotide ribosomal RNA is filed under the name Moraxella sp. canine oral taxon 018. Its description in RNAcentral is "bacterial SSU rRNA". It matches the Rfam family "Bacterial small subunit ribosomal RNA", at positions 9 to 494 of the family's 1533-position model. The record is from RNAcentral. Lineage: Bacteria; Pseudomonadati; Pseudomonadota; Gammaproteobacteria; Moraxellales; Moraxellaceae.
GAGUUUGAUUAUGGCUCAGAUUGAACGCUGGCGGCAGGCUUAACACAUGCAAGUCGAACGGAAGCUACUAGCUUGCUAGUAACUUUAGUGGCGAACGGGUGAGUAAUAUUUAGGAAUCUGCCUCAUAACGGGGGAUAGCUCGGGGAAACUCGAAUUAAUACCGCAUACACCCUACGGGGGAAAGGUGGCGCGAGCUGCCGAUAUGAGAUGAGCCUAAAUCAGAUUAGCUAGAUGGUGGGGUAAAGGCCUACCAUGGCGACGAUCUGUAACUGGUCUGAGAGGAUGAUCAGUCACACCGGAACUGAGACACGGUCCGGACUCCUACGGGAGGCAGCAGUGGGGAAUAUUGGACAAUGGGCGAAAGCCUGAUCCAGCCAUGCCGCGUGUGUGAAGAAGGCCAUAAGGUUGUAAAGCACUUUAAGCAGGGAGGAAGAACUUUUAGUUAAUAGCUAAAAGUGGUGACGUUACCUGCAGAAUAAGCACC